Molecule: unclassified non-coding RNA, 300 nt
Filed under: Entoloma sp.
Lineage: Eukaryota; Fungi; Basidiomycota; Agaricomycetes; Agaricales; Entolomataceae
Description: partial contains small subunit ribosomal RNA, internal transcribed spacer 1, and 5.8S ribosomal RNA
Rfam family: Eukaryotic small subunit ribosomal RNA (bases 1-46)
Source: RNAcentral
AAGUCGUAACAAGGUUUCCGUAGGUGAACCUGCGGAAGGAUCAUUAUUGAAUAAACUUGGUUGGGUUGCUGCUGGCUCUCCGGAGCAUGUGCACACUCACUCCAUUUUUAACCACCUGUGCACAUACUGUAGGCCUGAAUGAACUUUGUCGAGGAAACUCGGUUUGAGAACUGCUCAGCUGUUCUUGUAUUUCAGGUCUAUGUUUUUAAACAUAUACUCCAUAACAAGUUAUAGAAUGUUAAUUAUGGGCCUUCUGUGCCUUUAAAACCUAAUACAACUUUCAACAACGGAUCUCUUGGC